This 499-nucleotide ribosomal RNA is filed under the name uncultured Glomeromycotina. RNAcentral describes it as "partial small subunit ribosomal RNA". It matches the Rfam family "Eukaryotic small subunit ribosomal RNA", at positions 591 to 1092 of the family's 1831-position model. Lineage: Eukaryota; Fungi; Glomeromycota. The record is from RNAcentral.
CCAAUAGCGUAUAUUAAAGUUGUUGCAGUUAAAAAGCUCGUAGUUGAAUUUCGGGAUCAAUAUAUCGGUCAUGCUUAGGUAUGUACUGGUAUUAUUGAUUUCUCCCUUCUGAAGAACCAUGAUGUCAUUAAUUUGAUGUCAUGGGGAAUCAGGACUGUUACUUUGAAAAAAUUAGAGUGUUUAAAGCAGGCUUUCGCUUGAAUACAUUAGCAUGGAAUAAUGAAAUAGGACGUUUGAUUCUAUUUUGUUGGUUUCUAGGAUCGACGUAAUGAUUAAUAGGGAUAGUUGGGGGCAUUAGUAUUCAAUUGUCAGAGGUGAAAUUCUUGGAUUUAUUGAAGACUGACUACUGCGAAAGCAUUUGCCAAGGAUGUUUUCAUUAAUCAAGAACGAAAGUUAGGGGAUCGAAGACGAUCAGAUACCGUCGUAGUCUUAACCAUAAACUAUGCCGACUAGGGAUCGGAUGAUGUUAAUUUUUUAAUGACUCAUUCGGCGCCUUACG